UGCUAUUCUAAAUAUGAAUUAUUUUUGUUCGGUGUAAAGGAUUUGUAUUAGUUUAAACUUUUCGUCUUGAUGAUCACUGAGAGCAAGGAUAGUAUUACAUUGUGUGUAUCUACACACUAGGAGGCAACAAAAAUGGAAAACGGUAAAGUAAAAUGGUUUAACAGCGAAAAAGGCUUCGGAUUCAUCGAGCGUGAAGGUGGAGAAGACGUAUUCGUUCAUUUCUCAGCUAUCCAAGGCGAAGGUUUCAAAUCUCUUGAAGAAGGUCAAUCAGUUACUUUUGACGUUGAACAAGGUAACCGUGGACCACAAGCUGCUAACGUUCGUAAAGCUUAAUUAAAAACAACAGAUGGACUCCAUUUUGGAGUCUGUUUUUUU
RNAcentral lists this unclassified non-coding RNA (375 nucleotides) under Neobacillus massiliamazoniensis. RNAcentral's name for it is "Bacillus sp. LF1 cspA". Lineage: Bacteria; Bacillati; Bacillota; Bacilli; Caryophanales; Bacillaceae. The record is from RNAcentral.